UACAGAGGGGGCAAGCGUUGUUCGGAUUUACUGGGCGUACAGGGCGCGUAGGCGGUUGGAUAAGCCCUCCGUGAAAUCUCCAGGCUUAACCUGGAAAGUGCAGAGGGGACUGUUCAGCUAGAGGAUGGGAGAGGAGCGCGGAAUUCCCGGUGUAGCGGUGAAAUGCGUAGAGAUCGGGAGGAAGGCCGGUGGCGAAGGCGGCGCUCUGGAACAUUUCUGACGCUGAGGCUCGAAAGCGUGGGGAGCAAACAGG
Molecule: ribosomal RNA, 253 nt
Filed under: uncultured bacterium
Lineage: Bacteria
Description: partial 16S ribosomal RNA
Rfam family: Bacterial small subunit ribosomal RNA
Source: RNAcentral